AGAGUUUGAUUCUGGCUCAGGACGAACGCUGGCGGCGUGCUUAAGACAUGCAAGUCGAGCGGAGCAUUUGGGAGCUUGCUUCUAGAUGCUUAGCGGCGGACGGGUGAGUAACGCGUGAGCAACCUGCCCUAUACAUCGGGAUAACGUUUGGAAACGAACGCUAAUACCGAAUAUGACCACAACCCCACAUGGGGAAGAGGUGAAAGGGUUUACUGGUAUAGGAUGGGCUCGCGUCUGAUUAGCUUGUUGGCGGGGUAACGGCCCACCAAGGCGACGAUCAGUAGCCGACCUGAGAGGGUGAUCGGCCACAUUGGAACUGAGAUACGGUCCAGACUCCUACGGGAGGCAGCAGUCGGGAAUAUUGGGCAAUGGAGGAAACUCUGACCCAGCAACGCCGCGUGAAGGAUGAAGGUCCUCGGAUUGUAAACUUCUGUCCUAUGGGAAAAAUAAAGUGAUGGUACCAUAGAAGAAAACCCCGGCAAACUACGUGCCAGCAGCCGCGGUGAUACGUAGGGGGUGAGCGUUGUCCGGAAUGACUGGGCGUAAAGGGUGUGUAGGCGGUUUAUUAAGUUGAAUGUGAAAGCCCGGGGCUUAACUCCGGAACUGCAUUCAAAACUGGUAGACUAGAGUGUGGGAGAGGUAAGUGGAAUUCCUAGUGUAGCAGUGAAAUGCGUAGAUAUUAGGAGGAACAUCAGUGGCGAAGGCGACUUACUGGAACAUAACUGACGCUGAGGCACGAAAGCGUGGGGAGCAAACAGGAUUAGAUACCCUGGUAGUCCACGCCCUAAACGAUGAUUACUAGAUGUUGGUGGUAUCGACUCCAUCAGUAUCGAAGCAAACGCGAUAAGUAAUCCGCCUGAGU
This 862-nucleotide ribosomal RNA is filed under the name human gut metagenome. Its description in RNAcentral is "bacterial SSU rRNA". It matches the Rfam family "Bacterial small subunit ribosomal RNA", at positions 9 to 873 of the family's 1533-position model. The record is from RNAcentral.